AACGAACGCUGGCGGCAUGCCUAACACAUGCAAGUCGAACGAGACCUUCGGGUCUAGUGGCGCACGGGUUCGUAACGCGUGGGAACCUGCCCUUAGGUUCGGAAUAACUCCCCGAAAGGGGUGCUAAUACCGGAUAAUGUCUUCGGACCAAAGAUUUAUCGCCUUUGGAUGGGCCCGCGUUGGAUUAGCUAGUUGGUAGGGUAAAAGCCUACCAAGGCGAGGAUCCAUAGCUGGUCUGAGAGGAUGACCAGCCACACUGGGACUGAGACACGGCCCAGACUCCUACGCGAGGCAGCAGUGGGGAAUAUUGGACAAUGGGCGAAAGCCUGAUCCAGCAAUGCCGCGUGAGUGAUGAAGGCCUUAGGGUUGUAAAGCUCUUUUACCCGGGAUGAUAAUGACAGUACCGGGAGAAUAAGCUCCGGCUAACUCCGUG
Molecule: ribosomal RNA, 433 nt
Filed under: uncultured bacterium
Lineage: Bacteria
Description: partial 16S ribosomal RNA
Rfam family: Bacterial small subunit ribosomal RNA
Source: RNAcentral